UACGAAGGGGGCUAGCGUUGCUCGGAAUCACUGGGCGUAAAGCGCACAUAGGCGGCUUUUUAAGUCAGGGGUGAAAUCCUGGAGCUCAACUCCAGAACUGCCUUUGAUACUGAGAAGCUUGAGUCCGGGAGAGGUGAGUGGAACUGCGAGUGUAGAGGUGAAAUUCGUAGAUAUUCGCAAGAACACCAGUGGCGAAGGCGGCUCACUGGCCCGGUACUGACGCUGAGGUGCGAAAGCGUGGGGAGCAAACAGG
This 253-nucleotide ribosomal RNA is filed under the name uncultured bacterium. Its description in RNAcentral is "partial 16S ribosomal RNA". It matches the Rfam family "Bacterial small subunit ribosomal RNA", at positions 524 to 776 of the family's 1533-position model. The record is from RNAcentral.